This 365-nucleotide ribosomal RNA is filed under the name Clostridiaceae bacterium. Its description in RNAcentral is "partial 23S ribosomal RNA". It matches the Rfam family "Bacterial large subunit ribosomal RNA", at positions 2559 to 2925 of the family's 2925-position model. Lineage: Bacteria; Bacillati; Bacillota; Clostridia; Eubacteriales; Clostridiaceae. The record is from RNAcentral.
UAGGUCCCAAGGGGUGGGCUGUUCGCCCAUUAAAGCGGUACGCGAGCUGGGUUCAGAACGUCGUGAGACAGUUCGGUCCCUAUCCGUCGUGGGCGUAGGAAAUUUGAGAGGAGCUGUCCCUAGUACGAGAGGACCGGGAUGGACAAACCAAUGGUGAACCGGUUGUCACGCCAGUGGCACCGCCGGGUAGCUAAGUUUGGCAGGGAUAAACGCUGAAAGCAUCUAAGUGUGAAGCCCCCCUCAAGAUGAGAUUUCCCCACUAUAUGUGAUAAGACCCCUGGAAGACCACCAGGUUGAUAGGCCGAGAGUGUAAGCAUAGUAAUAUGUUCAGCGGAUCGGUACUAAUAGGUCGAAGAUUUGACCUG